RNAcentral lists this ribosomal RNA (497 nucleotides) under uncultured bacterium. RNAcentral's name for it is "partial 16S ribosomal RNA". It matches the Rfam family "Bacterial small subunit ribosomal RNA", at positions 28 to 507 of the family's 1533-position model. The record is from RNAcentral.
GAUGAACGCUGGCGGCGUGCCUAAUACAUGCAAGUCGAGCGAACGGACGAGAAGCUUGCUUUUCUGAUGUUAGCGGCGGAAGGGUGAGUAAAACGUGGAUAACCUACCUAUAAGACUGGGAUAACUUCGGGAAACCGGAGCUAAUACCGGAUAAUAUUUUGAACCGCAUGGUUCAAAAGUGAAAGACGGUCUUGCUGUCACUUAUAGAUGGAUCCGCGCUGCAUUAGCUAGUUGGUAAGGUAACGGCUUACCAAGGCAACGAUGCAUAGCCGACCUGAGAGGGUGAUCGGCCACACUGGAACUGAGACACGGUCCAGACUCCUACGGGAGGCAGCAGUAGGGAAUCUUCCGCAAUGGGCGAAAGCCUGACGGAGCAACGCCGCGUGAGUGAUGAAGGUCUUCGGAUCGUAAAACUCUGUUAUUAGGGAAGAACAUAUGUGUAAGUAACUGUGCACAUCUUGACGGUACCUAAUCAGAAAGCCACGGCUAACUACGUG